CUCAUAAGGCCAACAAUGGAUGCCUAGGCUUGUUUUGCCGAGGAAGGACGCAUAUGGCGGCGAUACGCGUCGGGUAGGAGCCAUACUCCUGUGAUCCGGCGGUUUCCGAAUGGGGAAACCCCUCCGAUUCGUCGGAGAGCCAGUUGUAAAGAUGACCGCAAGGUCGGAAUAGUGACUGGCAGGUAAGCACCUGAACUGAAACAUCUCAGUAAGGUGAGGAAAAGAAAUCAGUAGAGAUUCCGUAAGUAGCGGCGAGCGAAAGCGGAACAGCCUAAACCCCUCACCAUUUGGCGUAUAAAUGCAGGUUAUUCCGGUGAAGAGAAUUUCUGUUAUUUGUACAUCAAAUGGUGAGGGGGGUUGCGGGGCAGAAGUCGUGGGAUUGACGAGAGAUAGAAGAAUUGCCUGGAAUGGCAAGUCAUAGAGAGUGAAAACCUCGUAUUUAAAAUCUCAAGUCACCCUAUUCUGUUCCCAAGUACUACGGGAUACGCGAAAGCCCGUGGGAAUCUGGGUGGGCCACCAUCCAAGGCUAAAUACAAAACAAGACCGAUAGUGAACGAGUACCGCGAGGGAAAGGUGAAAAGCACCCCGGAAGGGGAAUGAAAUAGUACCUGAAAUUGUUGGCUAACAAACAGACGAAGUCCCUCACCUUUUUUAAGAAGAGGGUGGGAUUUAAAUUUAAAGAAGGCGAAGUCGUUUUGCUUUCUGGUGAAAACCAAUGCCUUUUUGUUGAAAAAGGUGAGGGAUGACGUCGUGCCUAUUGAAGAAUGAACCGGUGAGUUAUCGGCUACUGCAAGCUUAACCCCUCACCAUGCUCUUGAACAAAGUUACAUCUUAAAUUCGAGGAUAUGGUGAGGGGGGAGGCGCAGCGAAAGCGAGUCCUAAUUGGGCGACCUAGUAGUAUCCGGUAGACCCGAAACUGGGUGAGCUAAUCAUGAGCAGGGUGAACCCCGGAGAAAUCCGGGAGAAGGCCCGAACUCGUCAAGGUUACAAACUUGUGAGAUGACUUGUGAUUAGGGGUUAUAUGCCAAUCGAACCCAGAGAUAGCUGGUUCUCCCCGAAAUAUAUUUAGGUAUAGCCUUCGUUUUUAAUUUCCAGGGGUAGAGCACUGAAUGGAUUCGGUCCGCCUCGGCGGAUCGACUUCAAUCAAACUCCGAAUACUGGAAAUCCGAAGACGGAGAGUCAGAGAUAUACGGCUAAGCGCGUGUCUCGAGAGGAAAACAGUCCAGACUUCCAUCUAAGGUCUCUAAAUAAUAGUUAAGUGGUUAAGGAAAUCCGGAACUUAAAACACCCAGGAGGUUG
This 1299-nucleotide ribosomal RNA is filed under the name Patescibacteria group bacterium. RNAcentral describes it as "bacterial LSU rRNA". It matches the Rfam family "Bacterial large subunit ribosomal RNA", at positions 1 to 1103 of the family's 2925-position model. The record is from RNAcentral.